RNAcentral lists this ribosomal RNA (253 nucleotides) under uncultured bacterium. RNAcentral's name for it is "partial 16S ribosomal RNA". It matches the Rfam family "Bacterial small subunit ribosomal RNA", at positions 524 to 776 of the family's 1533-position model. The record is from RNAcentral.
UACGGGGGGUGCGAGCGUUGUCCGGAUUCACUGGGCGUAAAGGGCGCGUAGGCGGCCGCAUCAGUCGGACCUAUAAGUGCGGGGCUCAACCCCGUGAUGGGUUCGGGACGGUGUGGCUGGGGCGCGGCAGAGGGAGACGGAAUGCCGGGUGUAGUGGUGAAAUGCGUAGAGAUCCGGCGGAACACCGGUGGUGAAGACGGUCUCCUGGGCCGAGGGCCGACGCUGAGGCGCGAGAGCGUGGGGAGCGAACCGG